RNAcentral lists this long non-coding RNA (1406 nucleotides) under Anser brachyrhynchus (Pink-footed goose). RNAcentral's name for it is "lncRNA (ENSABRG00000014931.1)". The record is from RNAcentral. Lineage: Eukaryota; Metazoa; Chordata; Aves; Anseriformes; Anatidae.
UUAUAUCUGUGCUGGACUACAUGGACAAAGUUUUUGAAAUUGCUGUUUUACUUCAAAUGGUAAGCUAAACAGCCAGCUGUGCAAGAUCUUUGUCAGUUGCAGAUAAGGUGAAAAACAUAUAUAACACUUCAUUUAUUUAAUUCGGUGAGUGUUUUGUUUGUUUUUAAAGGAUAUAAAAAGCUUACAUUAUGUGGUAAGCAGGUGCAUAAUAAUGUUUCUGUAGGUGGGCAGUCGAUAUCAUUGGGAUUUGCAGUGGAAAUUGGUAACAUUUAUUUUUCUUGUAGCCAUUAAUGGAUUAAAAGUCAGACUGCAGAGCAGUACGUGUAAAUGUGCACAAGAACAGGCAAAAAGAGGCUCCUUUAAAAAUAUAUUCAUUUCUGUCUGUAUUUAGAACCUGCUUAGUACUUCGGUAACACUGAGUAUCGAGCGGAUGGAAGUGCUGGUUAUGUGCUUAUUUGUGUCUGGAGGACUGGAACAGAUCUGUCCGAAGCAGCUUCUGUCACGGUGCGCUCCAGAAAAACAGAACCAAUAUCGGCAGAGGGAAUAUCAAUGUUCUGCUCUGUCAUCAGUGGUGAUGUCUGCUGACCACCCUGGCCUCGCAUUUACAGUUACGAAGCGAGCUGACCCUCCAGCAGCCUGUGCAGGAAUGGAGUUUUCUCUCUGAUUUUGCUGUGAGUUUGCACUCUGACUUCAAUCUAGAGAAGCAAAGGGAAUUGCCUUUUUUUUUUUUUUUUAACAUAUUUUCCAGACAGUCAUCAGCAGUAUAAGAUCAGUAAGCAUCAACUCAUUUGGAUGCAGUCAGACGCUUUCAUUGCAUAACGAACAGUCAUAAGUCCCUGGUGUCCCUGGAUCUCGAGUCUGGAGGCCUGAAUCCUAGUGAGCACCUUCCAUUGAGCAGGCCAGUGCUAGAGCUGUGGGCAGUCUUGAAGAAUUUGCCUUAACGUUGUCACCCUCGGUGUUGUCAGGAGACCGUGAUCCUGCAGCUCCUGCUGCAAUUGUGUCUGAUACGGACAUCGGGUUCCAACAGGUACAGCCUUUUGCUUAGGACUUACAAUUUUUUUCUUGAGGCCUAAUGGGCAAAACUGGCCAAAAGCAAAUGAAGGUUGGGUGGCAGGUGUUCUGUAACCGCUGAAACAGGUGGUCUGGUAUAGGCCAUCCAGUAGCAGUUGUCAGGAGAAAAUGAAAUGUUUUCAGAUGGAGACUUUUACAGUGCUUUCAGAUUGCUGUAGAUGUCAUCAUCUCUGGUGAGAUAAAAGUGAACUAAAUGAUUCUUUUUUCUUGUAAUUAAAAUCUUCUUUUUCCAUUUAUUUACCUCAUAGUCCAACCUAUUCCUAAGUACUUUGCUGCUUUUUUUUUUUUCUUUCAGCAAGGUGGGGGAAUGGGCAGGGAGUAGUGUUGGUUUAGUU